Molecule: ribosomal RNA, 460 nt
Filed under: uncultured bacterium
Lineage: Bacteria
Description: partial 16S ribosomal RNA
Rfam family: Bacterial small subunit ribosomal RNA
Source: RNAcentral
CCUACGGGCGGCAGCAGUGAGGAAUAUUGGUCAAUGGGCGAGAGCCUGAACCAGCCAAGUCGCGUGAAGGAUGAAGGCUCUAUGGUUUGUAAACUUCUUUUGUAUGGGAGUAAAGCGCGGGACGUGUCCCGUUUUGUAUGUACCUUAUGAAUAAGGAUCGGCUAACUCCGUGCCAGCAGCCGCGGUCAUACGGAGGCUCCGAGCGUUAUCCGGAUUUAUUGGGUUUAAAGGGUUCUGAGGCGGCUUUUUAAGUCAGCGGGGAAAGUCUCGGGCUUAACCAGAGAAUUGCCGUUGAAACUGGGGGUCUUGAGUAGGGUUGAGGUAGGCGGAAUGCGUGGUGUAGCGGUGAAAUGCUUAGAGAUCACGCAGAACCCCGAUUGCGAAGGCAGCCUGCCAAGCCAUGACUGACGCUGAUGCACGAAAGCGUGGGGAUCAAACAGGAUUAGAUACCCCUGUAGUC